This 430-nucleotide ribosomal RNA is filed under the name uncultured bacterium. RNAcentral describes it as "bacterial SSU rRNA". It matches the Rfam family "Bacterial small subunit ribosomal RNA", at positions 355 to 776 of the family's 1533-position model. The record is from RNAcentral.
UGGGGAAUCUUGCGCAAUGGGAGCAAUCCUGACGCAGCAACGCCGCGUGGGUGAUGAAGGUCUUCGGAUCGUAAAGCCCUGUCGGAGGGGAAGAUGCUUGGUGUCGCUAAUAUCGGCAUCAGGUGACGGUACCCUCAAAGGAAGCACCGGCUAACUCUGUGCCAGCAGCCGCGGUAAUACAGAGGGUGCAAGCGUUGUUCGGAAUUAUUGGGCGUAAAGGGAGUGUAGGCGGUUUUCUAAGUCUUCUGUGAAAUCUACGGGCUUAGCCUGUAACGUGCAGAGGAAACUGGAAGGCUUGAGUGUCGGAGAGGAUAGGGGAAUACCCAGUGUAGAGGUGAAAUUCGUAGAGAUUGGGUGGAACACCAGUGGCGAAGGCGCCUAUCUGGCUGACAACUGACGCUGAGACUCGAAAGCAUGGGGAGCAAACAGG